Astatotilapia calliptera (eastern happy) is the source of this 381-nucleotide long non-coding RNA. NCBI's taxonomy places the organism in Eukaryota, Metazoa, Chordata, Actinopteri, Cichliformes, Cichlidae. The record is from Ensembl.
ACGCCACAAUUUGCCAAUGGAUUGUAGAUGCUUGGGCUAACAUGUCUGCUGGCACUGUUGUUCGAGCUUUCGCAAAAGCCGGCAUCGUUUCCGAGGAGCCGCACGGCACGGAAAGUGACUCUGACGGUGAAGAAAGUGAACCUGGCAUGUUUGAUGGAGAUUUAGCGCAGCUGUUCAAUUCAGACACAGAGGAUGAGGACUUCCAUGGGUUUGAUUGAUGAUAAAAAUAAAUACAUCACAAAAUAAAGCCACAUUCCCAUGCUCUGAGAUUCUUAUGCACCUCCUCAACAAUACAUGUGACGUGUAUGUGGCAGUGCAAGCAUUGUGUUACCAGAGAGAGCAGCAGGUACAAAUUACUUCAACAUUAUAAACUACAUCAUC